AGCAGCCGCGGUAAUUUCAGCUCCAAUAGCGUAUAUUAAAGUUGUUGCAGUUAAAAAUAAAAAGCUCGUAGUUGAAUUUCGGGGUUAGCAGGUCGGUCAUGCCAUCGGUAUGAACUGGUCUCGCUGAUCCCUCCCUCUUGACGAACUGUGAUGCCAUUAAUUUGGUGUCGCAGGGAAUCAGGACUGUUACUUUGAAAAAAUUAGAGUGUUUAAAGCAGGCUCACGCUUGAAUACAUUAGCAUGGAAUAAUGAAAUAGGACGUUUGAUCCUAUUUUGUUGGCUUCUAGGAUUGACGUAAUGAUUAAUAGGGAUAGUUGGGGGCAUUAGUAUUCAAUUGUCAGAGGUGAAAUUCUUGGAUUUAUUGAAGACUAACUACUGCGAAAGCAUUUGCCAAGGAUGUUUUCAUUAAUCAAGAACGAAAGUUAGGGGAUCGAAGACGAUCAGAUACCGUCGUAGUCUUAACCAUAAACUAUGCCGACUAGGGAUCGGAUGAUGUUAAUUUUUUAAUGACUCAUUCGGUGCCUUAUG
RNAcentral lists this ribosomal RNA (528 nucleotides) under uncultured Glomeraceae. RNAcentral describes it as "SSU rRNA". It matches the Rfam family "Eukaryotic small subunit ribosomal RNA", at positions 569 to 1092 of the family's 1831-position model. Lineage: Eukaryota; Fungi; Glomeromycota; Glomeromycetes; Glomerales; Glomeraceae. The record is from RNAcentral.